GCCCAUGUGGCUCAGUGGUAGAGCACUCCCUUGGUAAGGGAGAGGUCGUGCGUUCGAUCCGCACCAUGGGCACCA
Molecule: transfer RNA, 75 nt
Filed under: Burkholderiaceae bacterium
Lineage: Bacteria; Pseudomonadati; Pseudomonadota; Betaproteobacteria; Burkholderiales; Burkholderiaceae
Description: tRNA-Thr
Rfam family: tRNA
About the family: Transfer RNA (tRNA) molecules are approximately 80 nucleotides in length.
Source: RNAcentral